ACACCAACUGAACUUCGACGCUCC
This 24-nucleotide non-coding RNA is filed under the name Arabidopsis thaliana (thale cress). The record is from RNAcentral. Lineage: Eukaryota; Viridiplantae; Streptophyta; Magnoliopsida; Brassicales; Brassicaceae.